Gorilla gorilla gorilla (western lowland gorilla) is the source of this 118-nucleotide ribosomal RNA. The record is from Ensembl. Lineage: Eukaryota; Metazoa; Chordata; Mammalia; Primates; Hominidae.
GCAUACAGCCAUACCAUUCUGAAGGUGUCUUAUCUCCUCUGAUCUAGAGAGGUAAGCAGGGUCGGGCCUGGUAGUACUUGGAUGGGAGAACACCUGGGAAUACCAGGUGCUAAAGGCU